Molecule: ribosomal RNA, 253 nt
Filed under: uncultured bacterium
Lineage: Bacteria
Description: partial 16S ribosomal RNA
Rfam family: Bacterial small subunit ribosomal RNA
Source: RNAcentral
GACAGAAGGUGCAAGCGUUACUCGGAAUUACUGGGCGUAAAGCGUCUGUAGGCGAUUUCCCACGUCUGAUAUGAAAUUGCGGGGCUCAACCCCGCAUCCGUAUUGGAAACGAGGAGAAUUGAGCCAUUCAGAGGUAUCUGGAAUGUCGUGUGUAGGGGUAAAAUCCGUAGAUACACGAUGGAACGCCAAAAGCGAAGGCAGGAUACUAGGAAUGUGCUGACGCUCAGAGACGAAAGCGUGGGGAGCAAAGGGG